GUCUAUAAAUCUGGAGUGCUGGGCACUUGUAUUAUAUAUGUAGAGAUAGAUAGAUCUAUAUAUCAGCCCCGGAACGUUGGGAUUACGUUGUGAAAUACAUGUUUUGAAAUCAGCCUCCGAGUGCCGCUGCUUGUUUUGUGCCAGAGGAUAUAUUGGUUUCGGUAUUUGUUUUGCUUUGCUAGGCUAGAGUUAUGAUUAUGACUCUGUUUCCCUUACAGUGCCUUCACCCAAGGCCUGCAGUGUACUUUGAUUUUUUUGGAGUGUACUUACAAACAGUCCUUGAUCACCACUAAAACCAACAGUGUUCUUCACCCUUCGGAGUGGACUUCAGAACAGCCCUACAUUUUCACCCAAGCUUAUGGUGUUAUACGAUCCUUUGGACUAGACUUGGGAAUACUUCAUUAGGUCUACAUCUUCUGCAGCUGUCCUCUGACAGAGAUUUUCACAUUGAUUAUUGAAAAGUAGACUUUUAAAACAUUGAAGACAUCUAUACCAGGCUGGCAUCAUGUCUAAUAAAAAGCGAACAAAUAGUUCAAAGCCAGGAAUAAUGUUCUACUUUCACCACCAACCAAAGAAAGGAAAAACUGACAUUCCACUUCAAACACACAAAAUGUAAUAAAUGUCAGGCUGCUUCAAGCAAGCAGUGACAUCACCAACCAUGCCCCGGGCCCACCAAACAAUACAACUUACAUUCUUAUCACCUGAGACAGCAUGUACUUUUUGUUACCUGAGCUCACGACUUAGAACAUCACGAUUGUGGAGAAUUAGUAAAAUGUUAU
Long non-coding RNA from Pseudophryne corroboree (corroboree frog), 779 nucleotides. RefSeq lists it as uncharacterized. The transcript has 4 exons. Lineage: Eukaryota; Metazoa; Chordata; Amphibia; Anura; Myobatrachidae. The record is from RefSeq and is a predicted model, not a curated record.